AUUGGCAGCUGUUGCUUCCUUCCUACUCCCUCCCACACACCCAGGAGCUCCAGCCUGUUAUGGGAUGGGCAUCCUACCAGGAACCAAGGAUGCUAAGAUGUCCUCCAAAAUGGAUUGCCUCAUAUCUAGUACCCGCCUGCUGCAGGCUUCUUCAUCUAGUUCCUCUGGGGACACACUGUGCAGCUAAUUCAUCCAGGCAGAUUCACUGGGAAGCUGUUGCUCAUGAGGGUAUUUCUGAGACUUUUUUUUGUGACCUUGCUGUAUGACUGGUGUAAUGAAGAAUCUCCAGGUGGAGAAAUGAUCCUGAAUUAUCCAGUGGGCCCUACAUGUCACCACAUUGCGAUCCUUCUAAGUAGGAAGCAGAAGAUCUGACACAUGCAGGAGAGGGGAAGGCAAUGUGACCAUGGAGGCAGAGAGGGGAGUGAUGUGGCCACAAACCAAGGAUUGUUGGCAGCUGCCAGUGGCCGAAGGGGCAAUGAAUGGAUUCUCCUUUGGAGCCUCUGGAGGGAGAAUGGCCCUGCUAACACCUUGAUUUUGGCCCAGUGAUACUGAUUUUGGACUUCUGCCCUCUAGAACUGUGAGGGAAUACUUUUCUGUUGCUUUAAGCCAUUGAAUUUAUGAUGAUUUGUUACAGCACCCACAGGAAACAAAUGCAUGGAUCUAACUUGAACCUAGUGAGUUAGAUUACUUCAGGGAAACACAAUAAAUAGUUAACAGGGCUUGUCAGGGGGGUGGGAGUGAGAUGAAAGUGUGAAGGCAACUUCUAUGGUUUACUUUUAUAUUUCCCUAUUUUUCAAAUCUUUUGCAAGAAAAUGAAUUCAUAUACUAUUUUAAAAAACAUAUAAAAUAUGAGCAAAAAGAUUUAUUGUAUCUCUUUAAAAUAAUUUAGAACAAGUAAUGGCUGCAGAACCUUAAAGGGUUUUUCUAGCAUGUUUCCAAGAUACAGUCUUGAUUAUUUGAGAUUGACAUGAAGAUGGCCCAGACUGUGCCACAACACAGCACUUGACACCAAAUGUUAGACUGUAAUGGGCCGUGUGAGUAUUACUCAGUGUGGCCAUUUCAUUAUCAAAUAUCUAUUUAUUUCAGAUUUCAAACACGAAUACAAGCUUCUCCUUUCUUUCCUUCCUUUCUCUUUUUCUCCUUUCUACAGCAAGUUCAGGAAUGUGCUAGGUAUGACCUGGGAUAGAAAGAGCAUAUACUCAGCUUUUGCCUUCAAGAAAAUUGGAUAUUGGCUUGGGAGAUAAGAUAAAUGAAAAGGAAGCAGAUGAUCUGUUAUAGAAGAGAUAACACUGUAAGCCCAAAUGUAUGUGAUUAAGUUCUAAAAGUGUAAACCAAUAGGGAGUGCUGUGAGGUGUCACCACGGGCGCAGAUUGCAGCAGAUCUGACCAUACAAGUGUAAAUAAAACCCUAUUGAAUGCCCCCUCUCCCUCCCCAAUUGUUCUGAGUGGUUGCUUCAAGAUUUCUUCUCAUCGUUCUCAAAUUGUUACUGUGAGAUUAACUGGCAAACAUUUCUCCUUAACAUAAGAAGUGUGAAUGGAAUCCUACCAAGUGAUUUUGCCAAUAGUUCCUAUUCCUGCUGCAAACAGUGGUGUGCUCAGGCUUAAGCUGUAACAUGUCCACACUCACCUGUCACUUGGGAAUGCCUCUGUUGGAAUGCAACAUGCCCACUUAUCACACAGCCGGCAUGAGAGGCAGAGUGGAGUUUAACCAAGCAUUCUGCCCCCAAAGUCUGCAGAUGUAGCCAGUGCCUUCAGAAAAGGGAAGGGAAACUAACCCUGUUGAGUAUCUACUAUGUGCUAGGCAUUCUGUUAAGCACUUUUACACACAUCAUUUAAUCCUCGUGACAGUAUUUAGAAAUAGCUAUCAUUUCCCAGUUCUGUAGAUGAGGAAGAAAAGGUAGGCUCAGAGAGGGUAGGUAAGUUGUCUAAGGUCACAUAGCUGGUACAUAGUAGUAGAGCUAGGGUGCAAACCCAAGAUUUUCUGAGUCCAAAGCACAUGCCUAUUCCAUCAUUUCGGUAAUAAGAAUAAAUGUCUUUCAAAUGUAGUGGUGAGAGAUGAAUAAAAAGCCGUCCUUGGUGAUCCUGGGGAGUCUACACCCUCUGCCUGCCUGGCUCCACAUCAAGCUUGUGUUUGCCAGCACUUACACCCCUGCAUUUCCCUCCAAUCCCUGUCAUCUCCCUUGUGGAGUCCUCUCCUCCUCUCCUACCCGUUGGUCCCCUUUUUCACCCAUCCUUCAGCCAUUUAAUGAUCUCAUCUUUAAUUCCUGUUUAUAACUCCAUGAGCUCCUCGAUCACUGUCUCCUGAGAUGUCCUUUUUGUCACUGGAACUUGUAUUAAAGUGGUUUUGUAAUGGGUA
Molecule: long non-coding RNA, 2355 nt
Filed under: Homo sapiens (human)
Lineage: Eukaryota; Metazoa; Chordata; Mammalia; Primates; Hominidae
Description: HSALNT0326039
Source: RNAcentral